UGGGGAAUUUUGGACAAUGGGGGAAACCCUGAUCCAGCCAUCCCGCGUGUGCGAUGAAGGCCUUCGGGUUGUAAAGCACUUUUGGCAGGAAAGAAACGUCGCGGGUUAAUACCCCGCGAAACUGACGGUACCUGCAGAAUAAGCACCGGCUAACUACGUGCCAGCAGCCGCGGUAAUACGUAGGGUGCAAGCGUUAAUCGGAAUUACUGGGCGUAAAGCGUGCGCAGGCGGUUCGGAAAGAAAGAUGUGAAAUCCCAGGGCUUAACUUUGGAACUGCAUUUUUUAACUACCGGGCUAGAGUGUGUCAGAGGGAGGUGGAAUUCCGCGUGUAGCAGUGAAAUGCGUAGAUAUGCGGAGGAACACCGAUGGCGAAGGCAGCCUCCUGGGAUAACACUGACGCUCAUGCACGAAAGCGUGGGGAGCAAACAGGAUUAGAUACCCUGGUAGUCCACGCCCUAAACGAUGUCAACUAGCUGUUGGGGCCUUCGGGCCUUGGUAGCGCAGCUAACGCGUGAAGUUGACCGCCUGGGGAGUACGGUCGCAAGAUUAAAACUUAAA
RNAcentral lists this ribosomal RNA (558 nucleotides) under uncultured bacterium. RNAcentral describes it as "partial 16S ribosomal RNA". It matches the Rfam family "Bacterial small subunit ribosomal RNA", at positions 355 to 905 of the family's 1533-position model. The record is from RNAcentral.